This is a long non-coding RNA of Prionailurus viverrinus (fishing cat), 885 nucleotides long. RefSeq lists it as uncharacterized. The transcript is spliced from 5 exons. The record is from RefSeq and is a predicted model, not a curated record. Lineage: Eukaryota; Metazoa; Chordata; Mammalia; Carnivora; Felidae.
UGGUCGCUUCUCGGGGUCCUUCCGACCUUCUGAACUGGGGGUGUCGGUUGGGGCGGGAGUGAGAGGUGUUGGUGAAAUCUACUUCCCGGGUGUCCCCUUCUGCCUUCGUUAUAUGGGAGAAUUUCACUUGUGGCUUUUGUGAGAAUUGCUGAGCAAUGCCUGCUCAAGUCCACCUGUCUCCAGGAAGGAAAUGUGGAGGCUGAAGUGAUGGCUCCAGGGUUGCUGACAACCUGGUCAUAGGGUAUCAUUUCCAUAAACCCAACCUGCUCACCCAUAAGGAGCUGAGGACCAAGAAGAGGAGAGUUCUAAUUGUCCAAGAAACCCGUUCAGGGCCUGCUAGGACCUUUUCCUGUGGGGAGGCCACACAGCCUCUACUAAAUGUCCUCCCACCAGGGGAACUGCCCCUCCUCAUGUGGCCCAAGAAUCUCCUGGACUCCACUCCACUCCUGGGGAUUCGCCCUUCCUACCAGAGCACUGCCAGAUCAAAAGUUUCAACUUAAAGCCAAAGAGACCACUGCAAAGCAGAAUAAACUUUGGGAAAAACUUCUGUCAGGAAAAGGGUAAGGCUCCCGAACGCCUCUCUCCUGAGGGUGCAUUGCUGGUUCUCUGCUGGGGUUGCUGUGACACAGAAGAGCAUAACCACCAGGGGAGACACUUGGGACCAAUGACCUUCACCCAGAAGACGUUGUUUCUGAGUCAGAGAGUCUCUGAGUAUCAUGAAUUUUCAGAACAUUCUAAACCAAUUUCAGUAUUUAUUUGUGGAGAGUUCCCACAGGUAAACAUAUCCAUUAAUACGACUUAGUGAAUGUUGACACAUAAUUCAGUUUUUGUUUAAAAUUAAAAAAAAAUGUUUAUUUAUGUUUGAGAGACAGAGUGUGAGAGGGG